Molecule: long non-coding RNA, 637 nt
Organism: Tripterygium wilfordii
Lineage: Eukaryota; Viridiplantae; Streptophyta; Magnoliopsida; Celastrales; Celastraceae
Exons: 3
Source: RefSeq, a predicted model, not a curated record
UAUACAUGAGCGGUGCUUCUAUGCCUUUUACGGAUUCCAUGACCAACCACGACGGACGAUUUGAGAGUCAGAUCCGCUCCCUUCUCUCUCAAACAAACGUUGUGAAAAUUAUUCCAACCCAAAAACCCCUGCUUCGCUCAUCCCACUGUGUUCAAUGAGGUGUCUUUAAGCUAUAUCAGAAAAAUCAUGGUUGUAAACCAACCGUGGUGGGCGAUAAUCAGGAUCAGCUCAAGCCCGGCCACCAUGUGCGUGAGCUUGAGGAGUCCACAAAUGGUUUCGCUGCUGAGAAUGUGAUAGGUGAAGGCGGUUAUGGCAUUGUGUAUCAUGGUGUAUUAACAUAUAACUCUGACGUUGUUGACAAAAAAUAGCUUAACAACGGGUGCUAUUUUAUGGAUUUUAAUAGCACUUCUCCAUGAAAAUGUUGCACGGUCACCGUCUUUGGAUUGACAAAUGAUUGUCUCACCAAUAGAAUGAUGAUUGAGGUUGUUUGAUUGUCAAGCAUAAAUGGUAUGUAGUAAAUUUGUAGUGUGUUUAAAUGUGUUCUUAUCUACAUGCUAAUUUGCAGGGGAAUAGUUGGGAGGAAAUUUAAGGUAGGGGUAGAAGCCAUUGGCCUGAACAACAGGUGUAAUUUUUAUGG